CCUACGGGAGGCAGCAGUGAGGAAUAUUGGUCAAUGGGCGCGAGCCUGAACCAGCCAAGUAGCGUGAGGGAUGACUGCCCUACGGAUUGUAAACUUCUUUUAUAAGGGAAUAAAGUGCGGCACGUGUGCCUUUUUGUAUGUACUUUAUGAAUAAGGAUCGGCUAACUCCGUGCCAGCAGCCGCGGUAAUACGGAGGAUCCGAGCGUUAUCCGGAUUUAUUGGGUUUAAAGGGAGCGUAGGUGGGUUGUUAAGUCAGUUGUGAAAGUUUGCGGCUCAACCGUAAAAUUGCAAUUGAUACUGGCAGCCUUGAGUAUAGGUGAGGUAGGCGGAAUGCGUGGUGUAGCGGUGAAAUGCUUAGAUAUCACGAAGAACCCCGAUUGCGAAGGCAGCUUACUAAACUGACACUGACACUGAUGCACGAAAGUGUGGGUAUCAAACAGGAUUAGAUACCCUAGUAGUC
This 460-nucleotide ribosomal RNA is filed under the name uncultured bacterium. RNAcentral describes it as "partial 16S ribosomal RNA". It matches the Rfam family "Bacterial small subunit ribosomal RNA", at positions 338 to 795 of the family's 1533-position model. The record is from RNAcentral.